UACGUAGGGGGCAAGCGUUGUCCGGAUUCAUUGGGCGUAAAGCGCGUGUAGGCGGCCAGAUAGGUCUGCUGUGAAAACCCGAGGCUUAACCUCGGGACGCCGGCGGAAACCAUUUGGCUAGAGUCCGGAAGAGGAGAGUGGAAUUCCUGGUGUAGCGGUGAAAUGCGCAGAUAUCAGGAAGAACACCCGUGGCGAAAGCGGCUCUCCGGGACGGUACUGACGCUGAGACGCGAAAGCGUGGGGAGCGAACAGG
RNAcentral lists this ribosomal RNA (253 nucleotides) under uncultured bacterium. RNAcentral describes it as "partial 16S ribosomal RNA". It matches the Rfam family "Bacterial small subunit ribosomal RNA", at positions 524 to 776 of the family's 1533-position model. The record is from RNAcentral.